GACGAACGCUGGCGGCGUGCCUAAUACAUGCAAGUAGAACGCUGAAAUAAGAGCUUGCUCUUAUGGAUGAGUUGCGAACGGGUGAGUAACACGUGGGGAACCUACCUUCUAGCGGGGGAUAACACAUAGAAAUGUGUGCUAAUACCGCAUAAUAGUAUUUGAUGCAUAUCAGAUACUUGAAAGGCGCAAUUGCGUCACUAGAAGAUGGCCCCGCGGUGCAUUAGCUAGUUGGUGAGGUAACGGCUCACCAAGGCAAUGAUGCAUAGCCGACCUGAGAGGGUGAUCGGCCACACUGGGACUGAGACACGGCCCAGACUCCUACGGGAGGCAGCAGUAGGGAAUCUUCGGCAAUGGACGCAAGUCUGACCGAGCAACGCCGCGUGAGUGAAGAAGGUUUUCGGAUCGUAAAACUCUGUUGUAAGAGAAGAACGUUGAUGAGAGUGGAAAGUUCAUCAAGUGACGUAUCUACCAGAAG
RNAcentral lists this ribosomal RNA (475 nucleotides) under Bacilli bacterium oral taxon C35. RNAcentral describes it as "bacterial SSU rRNA". It matches the Rfam family "Bacterial small subunit ribosomal RNA", at positions 28 to 489 of the family's 1533-position model. The record is from RNAcentral. Lineage: Bacteria; Bacillati; Bacillota; Bacilli.